RNAcentral lists this ribosomal RNA (457 nucleotides) under uncultured bacterium. Its description in RNAcentral is "bacterial SSU rRNA". It matches the Rfam family "Bacterial small subunit ribosomal RNA", at positions 340 to 786 of the family's 1533-position model. The record is from RNAcentral.
UACGGGAGGCAGCAGUGGGGAAUAUUGCACAAUGGGCGAAAGCCUGAUGCAGCUAUGCCGCGUGUAUGAAGAAGGCCUUAGGGUUGUAAAGUACUUUCAUCGGGGAGGAAAAAACAAAACUAAUAAUUUUAUUUCUUGACGUUACCCGAAAAAGAAGCACUGGCUAACUCCGUGCCAGCAGCCGCGGUAAUACGGAGGGUGCUAGCGUUAAUCAGAAUUACUGGGCGUAAAGAGCACGUAGGUGGUUUUUUUAAGUUCAGAUGUGAAAUCCCUGGGCUUAACCUAGGAACUGCAUUUUGAAACUGAAAUACUAGAGUAUCGUAGAGGGAGGUAGAAUUCUAGGUGUAGCGGUGAAAUGCGUAGAUAUCUGGAGGAAUACCUGUGGCGAAAGCGGCCUCCUAAACGAAUACUGACACUGAGGUGCGAAAGCGUGGGGAGCAAACAGGGAUUAGAUACC